CAGGGGAUCACGUCCUAUAGUCCAUGCACUGACUAGGACUUGCGAAUUCUUGGGAAUAGUGUAGCCACAGAGUUGAACUUCUUCUUGUACUUGGCGAGGUAUUAAGAAAGGAACCAGUGGGUGUAAUCUUCCGGUCUCUUUCACAAUACAUUGCAAGUAAGGCAACCUAGAUAUGUCCGCUUCUUUUACAAUCUUUCCCUUCCCGACCACUUCGUUCAGCUCAGCUUUCGCCUUCACUAAUAUUGUAUCUGGGUUUUUUAAUAUCUCNUCAACCCAUAUCCAUUAGAAUUAUAGAAUAUUAUGGAUGCACAUUGCCAAGCUCUCUCUGUGACUGAAUAAUGCUCUACCUGGAAUCUAAUUCCUCUAUUUUGUAUAGACCCUUCCGCCAUACAAGAAAUUCACCAGUUGUAAAAUAGUAUAAAAUUGUUUGCACAAACAUUCAAUCGGUUUCUAUCUUUUGAAUUUACAACCAGUUUCUACUUUAUCAUUAAACUUGUGUCCGCUCUUUCUGUUGUGGGGGUGCCUCAGAUGCGAUAGGUGAAAUCACGUGUCUAUCUAUAGUUGGCUGUUAAUUUUAUCCAAGAAAUGAAGGCAAAGCUAUGUAAUUUUGAUCCAAAAUUCCUUCUGAUGCAACAUGCUUUGCCUUCCAAUUUACUGCUUUAACAAGUUAGAUGAAAUAUGAUAUAGUGAUUGAUACUAGUCCUCCCCAAGUGAAAUGACCCUAUCCUAGAUAUUAUUACUCGUUUUCAUGUUUCUUCACCUGGACUAGAAUUAUGCCAUUUUUGUGAGGAGCACAUUAUUUUUUGUCUGAUAUACGUGCAUAUGCAUAUCACAUUUUGGACAAAGCUUUAGCCAGAAGACCAUAUCACAUUAUAAUUUGAAAGAAAUUUUUGGUAGUCCAUGUUUAUUUCAUAUCUUCACAUUUGUCAUUAUCUUGAUACAAUUCUCUACUUGAAAUUCUUCAGGUUCCUGUUUAGAUUUACCGGAAAGGAUGCUGAAAUAAAUCUCUUGGGCGAUGGUACUGAGAAACCUGAGUUUGGAGAAUGGUCAUGGCUGUCACCAGAACAAGUACUUGACCGAGUGGGUUUCACUUCCCCAUAAAAGUUUGAUAAGAAAUUGGGUUUAAAAGUAUUUGUUAAUCGAAUUUACCGUUUACUUUACAUUUUUAUGCAGGCAGUGGAGUUCAAGAAAUCAGUUUACAAGGAAGUUUUGGAAGUUUUCUCCUCUCAUCUCAACUCAAACUUAUGAAGAAGGUUUGAAUCGCUCUAGCUACUUUUGUCCUCUGACUUAAGUUAAUUUCCAUGCCUGCCUUCACCGACUAGUGAUAGCAAUGAAUGUUUGUGUUGUCUUUCACGAGUGAACCCUUGAGCUCAGUUCUACUUGUAAUAGAGCUCGAAAUUAAUACAACCAAUAAGCCAUACCCUUGUCAUGCCAGAUUGUUGUGCAUUUUGUGGAACACCACUUUAUAUUUUGUUUUUAUUUUAUAGUAAAAACAUAUAUUGUUACUUAGCAAACAAAAAUGUUGUUUAUCGAAUUCAGAAUAGUCUCCUUCUACUAUGACAAAAUUUUGCUAUGUUGAUAUCUAAAAAUUAUUAAAAAUAUCUGUUCUGUAUUACUAGCUCAUAAGAAAAACUUUGUAGUCUACAAUAGUUCCAUUUCAGAUUCUAAUACCAAUUGUCAUUUUAUAUGUUGGACUUUGCAACACUAACUUUUAGGUAAAUAAGAGCAUAAUUAUAUUAAAUUAAAUUACAUAUGUAAUUAGUCAUAUGAGAAGAGAAUAUAUAUAUUUAGGUGAUAUAAGAUUUUCGGCUCUCUAUUGUAGUAUUACUUGAAGGCAACAGAUUUAGCCCUAAAAGAAUAAGUUAUACACAGAACGUUAAUGUAUAUAUGUGUAUAUUUAAUGAAAUAGAUUUACAUGUGAGAACUAAAUAGAUAGCUAGCAAUUAUGUGUGUAACAUACAGUAACACAUUCCCUCACCCACCAAAUCCCAAUUUUGGUAGUAUAUACUAGAGCAGGGAUGUUGUCAAAAUAAAUUAACAAAAUCAUUCUCCACCAUUGAACCUUUAUUUAUUAUAUAGAUAUAGAUACAUAAAAGAAGGUACAUAUAUUAUGAGGCUCUCAGCCUCUUAAAAGAGUUGGACAAUGUAAAGGAGCAGAUGAUUCUAAUAUCCUAAAAUUAAUUAGGCAGAACUGAGUUGGUACAGCACGAAGCGGAUGAAGCUUUGCUAGAGUGAUCCCGAACUUCUCCUCCAUGUCCAUUUCCUCUGGUGCAAUCCCACCUUCAAGUUUCCAGUCAAAGCAAUUUAUGAGGGAGCCCAACAUCACUGGCACCAUCCUCAUCGCCAAUGGCAAUCCCGGACAUUUCCUUCGACCUGCACCAAAUGGAAUUAGCUCAUAAAAAUGGCCGUUCAUUUCAACUUCAGAGUCCAGGAACCUCUCCGGUUGGAAUAACAAGGAAUUUUUCCAUAUCAGGGGAUCACGUCCUAUAGUCCAUGCACUGACUAGGACUUGCGAAUUCUUGGGAAUAGUGUAGCCACAGAGUUGAACUUCUUCUUGUACUUGGCGAGGUAUUAAGAAAGGAACCAGUGGGUGUAAUCUUCCGGUCUCUUUCACAAUACAUUGCAAGUAAGGCAACCUAGAUAUGUCCGCUUCUUUUACAAUCUUUCCCUUCCCGAC
This 2677-nucleotide long non-coding RNA is filed under the name Daucus carota (carrot). Its description in RNAcentral is "long non-coding RNA (DCAR_LNC003882)". Lineage: Eukaryota; Viridiplantae; Streptophyta; Magnoliopsida; Apiales; Apiaceae. The record is from RNAcentral.